Molecule: ribosomal RNA, 500 nt
Filed under: uncultured bacterium
Lineage: Bacteria
Description: partial 16S ribosomal RNA
Rfam family: Bacterial small subunit ribosomal RNA
Source: RNAcentral
GUUGAACGCUGGCGGCAUGCCUUACACAUGCAAGUCGAACGGUAACGGGUCCUUCGGGAUGCCGACGAGUGGCGAACGGGUGAGUAAUAUAUCGGAACGUGCCCAGUAGUGGGGGAUAACUGCUCGAAAGAGCAGCUAAUACCGCAUACGACCGGAGGGUGAAAGGGGGGGAUCGCAAGACCUCUCGCUUGUGGAGCGGCCGAUAUCAGAUUAGCUAGUUGGUGGGGUAAAGGCCUACCAAGGCAACGAUCUAUAGUUGGUCUGAGUGGACGACCAGCCACACUGGGACUGAGACACGGCCCAGACUCCUGCGGGAGGCAGCAGUGGGGAAUUUUGGACAAUGGGCGCAAGCCUGAUCCAGCAAUGCCGCGUGCAGGAAGAAGGCCUUCGGGUUGUAAACUGCUUUUGUCAGGGAAGAAAUCUUCUGGGCUAAUACCCCGGGAGGAUGACGGUACCUGAAGAAUAAGAACCGGCUAACUACGUGCCAGCAGCCGCCGCAG